GAUGAACGCUGGCGGCGUGCCUAAUACAUGCAAGUCGAGCGAACAGACGAGGAGCUUGCUCCUCUGACGUUAGCGGCGGACGGGUGAGUAACACGUGGAUAACCUACCUAUAAGACUGGUAUAACUUCGGGAAACCGGAGCUAAUACCGGAUAAUAUAUUGAACCGCAUGGUUCAAUAGUGAAAGACGGUUUUGCUGUCACUUAUAGAUGGAUCCGCGCCGCAUUAGCUAGUUGGUAAGGUAACGGCUUACCAAGGCAACGAUGCGUAGCCGACCUGAGAGGGUGAUAGGCCACACGGGAGCUGAGACACGGUCCAGACUCCUACGAGAGGCAGCAGUAGGGAAUCUUCCGCAAUGGGCGAAAGCAUGACGGAGCAACGCCGCGUGAGUGAUGAAGGUCUUCGGAUCGUAAAACUCUGAUAUUAGGGAAGAACAAAUGUGUAAGUAACUAUGCACGUCUUGACGGUACCUAGUCAGAAAGCCACGGCUAACUACGUG
RNAcentral lists this ribosomal RNA (497 nucleotides) under uncultured bacterium. RNAcentral describes it as "partial 16S ribosomal RNA". It matches the Rfam family "Bacterial small subunit ribosomal RNA", at positions 28 to 507 of the family's 1533-position model. The record is from RNAcentral.